Molecule: ribosomal RNA, 480 nt
Filed under: uncultured bacterium
Lineage: Bacteria
Description: partial 16S ribosomal RNA
Rfam family: Bacterial small subunit ribosomal RNA
Source: RNAcentral
GACGAACGCUGGCGGCGUGCUUAACACAUGCAAGUCGGGCGGAAAGGCCCUUUCGGGGGUACUCGAGCGGCGAACGGGUGAGUAACACGUGAGUAAUCUGCCCCUGGCUUUGGGAUAGCCACCGGAAACGGUGAUUAAUACCGGAUACGACCACUUCUCGCAUGGGAUGGUGGUGGAAAGUUUUUCGGCCAGGGAUGUGCUCGCGGCCUAUCAGCUUGAUGGUGAGGUAAUGGCUCACCAUGGCUUCGACGGGUAGCCGGCCUGAGAGGGUGACCGGUCACACUGGGACUGAGACACGGCCCAGACUCCUACGGGAGGCAGCAGUGGGGAAUAUUGGACAAUGGGCGGAAGCCUGAUCCAGCUACGCCGCGUGAGGGAUGACGGCCUUCGGGUUGUAAACCUCUUUCAGCAGGGACGAAGCGCAAGUGACGGUACCUGCAGAAGAAGCACCGGCCAACUACGUGCCAGCAGCCGCCGUAA